This 465-nucleotide ribosomal RNA is filed under the name uncultured bacterium. Its description in RNAcentral is "bacterial SSU rRNA". It matches the Rfam family "Bacterial small subunit ribosomal RNA", at positions 30 to 490 of the family's 1533-position model. The record is from RNAcentral.
AUUGAACGCUGGCGGAAUGCUUUACACAUGCAAGUCGGACGGCAGCACGGGGCAACCUGGUGGCGAGUGGCGAACGGGUGAGUAAUAUAUCGGAACGUGCCCAAUCGUGGGGGAUAACGUAGCGAAAGUUACGCUAAUACCGCAUACGAUCUACGGAUGAAAGCGGGGGAUCGCAAGACCUCGCGCGAAUGGAGCGGCCGAUAUCAGAUUAGGUAGUUGGUGGGGUAAAGGCUCACCAAGCCAACGAUCUGUAGCUGGUCUGAGAGGACGACCAGCCACACUGGAACUGAGACACGGUCCAGACUCCUACGGGAGGCAGCAGUGGGGAAUUUUGGACAAAGGGCGCAAGCCUGAUCCAGCCAUUCCGCGUGCAGGAUGAAGGCCUUCGGUUGUAAACUGCUUUGUUACGGAACGAAACGGUACUGCCCUAAUACGGCAGGCUAAUGACGGUACCGUAAGAAUAAG